UGGGGAAUUUUGGACAAUGGGGGAAACCCUGAUCCAGCCAUCCCGCGUGUGCGAUGAAGGCCUUCGGGUUGUAAAGCACUUUUGGCAGGAAAGAAACGUCAUGGGUUAAUACCCCGUGAAACUGACGGUACCUGCAGAAUAAGCACCGGCUAACUACGUUCCAGCAGCCGCGGUAAUACGUAGGGUGCAAGCGUUAAUCGGAAUUCCUGGGCGUAAAGCGUGCGCAGGCGGUUCGGAAAGAAAGAUGUGAAAUCCCAGAGCUCAACUUUGGAACUGCAUUUUUAACUACCGGGCUAGAGUGUGUCAGAGGGAGGUGGAAUUCCGCGUGUAGCAGUGAAAUGCGUAGAUAUGCGGAGGAACACCGAUGGCGAAGGCAGCCUCCUGGGAUAACACUGACGCUCAUGCACGAAAGCGUGGGGAGCAAACAGG
This 429-nucleotide ribosomal RNA is filed under the name Acidobacteriota bacterium. RNAcentral describes it as "Acidobacteria bacterium partial 16S ribosomal RNA". It matches the Rfam family "Bacterial small subunit ribosomal RNA", at positions 355 to 776 of the family's 1533-position model. Lineage: Bacteria; Pseudomonadati; Acidobacteriota. The record is from RNAcentral.